This 468-nucleotide ribosomal RNA is filed under the name uncultured bacterium. RNAcentral's name for it is "partial 16S ribosomal RNA". It matches the Rfam family "Bacterial small subunit ribosomal RNA", at positions 28 to 507 of the family's 1533-position model. The record is from RNAcentral.
GACGAACGCUGGCGGCGUGCUUAACACAUGCAAGUCGAACGGAAAGGCCCUGCUUUUGUGGGGUGCUCGAGUGGCGAACGGGUGAGUAACACGUGAGUAACCUGCCCUUGACUUUGGGAUAACUUCAGGAAACUGGGGCUAAUACCGGAUAGGAGCUCCUGCUGCAUGGUGGGGGUUGGAAAGUUUCGGCGGUUGGGGAUGGACUCGCGGCUUAUCAGCUUGUUGGUGGGGUAGUGGCUUACCAAGGCUUUGACGGGUAGCCGGCCUGAGAGGGUGACCGGGCACAAGGGGACUGAGAUAGGGCGCAGACGCCUACGGGAGGCAGCGGUGGGGAAUAUUGCACAAUGGGCGGAAGCCUGAGGCAGCAACGCCGCGUGCGGGAUGACGGCCUCCGGGUUGUAAACCGCUUUCGCCUGUGACGAAGCGUGAGUGACGGUAAUGGGUAAAGAAGCACCGGCUAACUACGUG